Molecule: unclassified non-coding RNA, 326 nt
Filed under: uncultured fungus
Lineage: Eukaryota; Fungi
Also listed under: 1 other name
Description: partial contains 5.8S ribosomal RNA, internal transcribed spacer 2, and large subunit ribosomal RNA
Rfam family: 5.8S ribosomal RNA (bases 1-52)
Source: RNAcentral
AACGCAUCUUGCGCUCCUUGGUAUUCCGAGGAGCAUGCCUGUUUGAGUGUCAUUAAAUUCUGUCAAAACAUGCACUUGAGUGUGUGUUUUGGAUUGUGGGAGUGUCUGCUGGCUUAUUCUAUAUAUGAGCCGGCUCUCCUGAAAAACAUUAGCUUUGGGGGGAUGUGCCAAGUCACUUCUGCCUUUCCAUUGGUGUGAUAGAUGAAUAAACUUAUCUACGCCAGGAAAGCAGGUUGCAGGUGAAGCACAGUGAUCUCUCUGCUCUCUAAUUGACAUUUGUCUGAUAACUUGACCUCAAAUCAGGUAGGACUACCCGCUGAACUUAA